UCCCUGGUGGUUCAGUGGUUAGGAUGCGGCAUUUUCACUGCCAUUGCCUGGGUUCAACCCCUGUUUAGGGAA
Bos taurus (domestic cattle) is the source of this 72-nucleotide non-coding RNA. Lineage: Eukaryota; Metazoa; Chordata; Mammalia; Artiodactyla; Bovidae. The record is from Rfam.